Molecule: long non-coding RNA, 1972 nt
Organism: Anguilla anguilla (European eel)
Lineage: Eukaryota; Metazoa; Chordata; Actinopteri; Anguilliformes; Anguillidae
Exons: 3
Source: RefSeq, a predicted model, not a curated record
UGUGUGCUGUUGGACUGGGAGAAGCACCUCCACCUGACCCUUCUACUCGUUUCCUGCCAAUGCUGUCGAACGGAGGAGAACAGAUUGGUGGCUGUGUGUAACCAUGACAACCGAAACACAGCUCAGCUCCUCCCAGCCACCCCCUGCUGUGAGGCAGAAUGCCCUCCUAUUGGAUGGGACCAGAAGCUGCACUGGCAGGGACCACACAUAAAAACAGUGUAGCUCAGACAACCACUGUGGAUAGAGCAUCUCUGAAAUGCACAAUGAUGUACUCUACGGCUGCAAUGCUUUUGAAAUAACAGCACUUGCAUCAUCCUGCACCAGCUGUAAAAUCACAUCCUCUGAGCAGAGAAGACUCUUGGUUCUCGUAGUCUGCUAAACGACACGCUGCCUUGAUGUCUAAAACGUUUCCGCCGCUCACAGAGACGUUCAGCGAAUCCAACCCCAAGGACCUGCUUACAUAAAUCAAAAAAGCGUGAGGCGGCCUUUCAAGGCUUUCUAAAGCUGGUGUCACACCCUUAUCCUCCGGCCCCACAUCUCGCACGGGAGACGCAAAGCUGGAGUCAGGUUGAUCGAUUGAUUUAUGGUGUCCUGACCUCAGAGGCCCAGCUGACCUCCCGGGCUUAAAUAAUGCAUUCCCUCAGGAAGUAUCCGCCCACUGUGACCUGAGAGUGAGAAGAAAGAAUGAUGAUGAUGAUGAAAGAAUCAUUAAUGAUUUAAAAAAAUGGUCACAAUGAUAAUCACACCAAGAGAAAAGAAUACAAUAGUAUUAUUGGGUUGAUGUUGUUUUCUGAUGUGUUCAAUGUGAACAGGCCUGGAACUAGAAGUCUCACAAUAUGCGAUUAGUCAAUAAUGAUACGCCUUAUUUGUGUGUGCAUGUGAUGUCUGUGUUAAUAUCACUAUGUGUGUGGAUGUGGACGUGAACAUGCAUAGUAUCACUCUACAUAAUUCUACAUCAUUCAACAUACAGGUCUUAAGUUGUUCACUCAUGUCCCAUCCACUAAGCAAUCGUAACAGAUUGUUAAAAUGCAACACUUCAACAUUUCAAUGAUUGUUGUUCAAUGAUUGUUGUAAACACAGUGAGCUUCAUGAUGUUUGUGACAAAGACAUUAUCUCGAUUUGGCUCUGUACUCAAAACAUUAUGGAGCGCACUGAAUAUUUACUGUGCAGCAGGGUCUGUCUGAAACCAUAGGUUACUCAACCUCUAUAAAUAGAUUUGAGAUGGUCAAUAAAAAUCAAUAAUUGCUUUAGAACAUACAUUAUUAGAUUGUUUUGCCAUGUUCAGAUAUUUUUGUCCUAAAAAUAUAGUGUUGCACUGUGUAUGAUGAAGCUAGCAUACAGAGCAGUGACAGUACAUGAUACGAAAAAGAGAAUUUAAAGACACUGCCAUAUACAGUAGUUGUUUAAAAAUUACCUGAACUUUCUAUAUAAAGCUGAAAUCAUUUACAAAAUCUGGGUGGACAGACUAAAAUCUGAGGGUUGGGGAGAUAGUGUUCUAUAAGGUAUAGAGAGACAGGUGGUGUUGUUCAAAAACCUGAGGAUAGCAUCAAAGAAUUACUGGGCUUUUUAUGAAUAAGCCUAAUAUGUGAAUGCUGCUGCUCUCCAUGGUUCUGAAGAACCUUAAAGUUUGGGCAGCAUCAAUAAACUCUGAUGUCAUCCCCUAGCCUCGCUGCAGACUUACCUUUAAUUAACUUGAAUAUCUGGCAGACAUUGAUCAAUUCCAUUUUUGCAAUACUUGUUCUGCCUUGUUAAAAUAAACACAAAUUUAGGAGAUACUUCUGAAAUAGCAUGACCUUCAUAUAAAGUGUCUCAAAUUCUCUCCAUAAACUUCUUGAUCCCAAUGACAAAUGGCUUUGUCUUGUCUCCGGCUUUAUAAAAUGUUUAUUAUGACUGCCUUGUUCAAUGACAGUUCACUUCAGGGGAUUAAUAUUUUUUUUAUAUCUGAACUGCUGUUCCUCCAGUUGUAUUCUGU